AAAUUUAUCUGACACAAUUUUUGAAAAGAAUUUAAUAGCGUAGAGAGGAAGGGAGGAGUGGGGGAAAGACAACAAACAGGGUGGUGAAGGAGUUUAUAUCCUCGUCGAUAGAGAAUAUCGACGGAAGGACACGGCUAGCAACACGUGCAACCUUGUACUUUCAUGGCAUUAUCACGUAUACAUAUGUAUGUAUAUACUGGCAAUACUUGUAUUACGUGCUCGCGCGUCCGAGACGUGCGCAAUUGCUUCUGCGUCUAGCUAUGGUUGAAAAAACUCGAUAUGGUAAAAAGAAAAAAAAAA
Vespa mandarinia (Asian giant hornet) is the source of this 300-nucleotide long non-coding RNA. The record is from RefSeq and is a predicted model, not a curated record. Lineage: Eukaryota; Metazoa; Arthropoda; Insecta; Hymenoptera; Vespidae.